RNAcentral lists this ribosomal RNA (395 nucleotides) under uncultured bacterium. RNAcentral's name for it is "partial 16S ribosomal RNA". It matches the Rfam family "Bacterial small subunit ribosomal RNA", at positions 523 to 918 of the family's 1533-position model. The record is from RNAcentral.
AUACGUAGGGUGCAAGCGUUAAUCGGAAUUACUGGGCGUAAAGCGUGCGCAGGCGGUUUUGUAAGACAGAGGUGAAAUCCCCGGGCUCAACCUGGGAACUGCCUUUGUGACUGCAAAGCUAGAGUAAGGCAGAGGGGGAUGGAAUUCCGCGUGUAGCAGGGAAAUGCGUAGAUAUGCGGAGGAACACCGAUGGCGAAGGCAAUCCCCUGGGCCUGUACUGACGCUCAUGCACGAACGCGUGGGGAGCAAACAGGAUUAGAUACCCUGGUAGUCCACGCCCUAAACGAUGUCAACUGGUUGUUGGGUCUUCAUUGACUCAGUAACGAAGCUAACGCGUGAAGUUGACCGCCUGGGGAGUACGGCCGCAAGGUUGAAACUCAAAUGAAUCGACGGGG